UCGAGUCGGCCUGCGCGGAAGAUGUAACGGGGCUAAACCAUGCACCGAAGCUGCGGCAGCGACACUAUGUGUUGUUGGGUAGGGGAGCGUUCUGUAAGCCUGCGAAGGUGUGCUGUGAGGCAUGCUGGAGGUAUCAGAAGUGCGAAUGCUGACAUAAGUAACGAUAAAGCGGGUGAAAAGCCCGCUCGCCGGAAGACCAAGGGUUCCUGUCCAACGUUAAUCGGGGCAGGGUGAGUCG
This 238-nucleotide ribosomal RNA is filed under the name Klebsiella pneumoniae. Its description in RNAcentral is "partial 23S ribosomal RNA". It matches the Rfam family "Bacterial large subunit ribosomal RNA", at positions 1149 to 1386 of the family's 2925-position model. The record is from RNAcentral. Lineage: Bacteria; Pseudomonadati; Pseudomonadota; Gammaproteobacteria; Enterobacterales; Enterobacteriaceae.